AGUGAACGCUGGCGGUAGGCCUAACACAUGCAAGUCGAACGGCAGCACAGUAAGAGCUUGCUCUUACGGGUGGCGAGUGGCGGACGGGUGAGGAAUACAUCGGAAUCUACUUUUUCGUGGGGGAUAACGUAGGGAAACUUACGCUAAUACCGCAUACGACCUACGGGUGAAAGCAGGGGAUCUUCGGACCUUGCGCGAUUGAAUGAGCCGAUGUCGGAUUAGCUAGUUGGCGGGGUAAAGGCCCAGCAAGGCGACGAUCGGUAGCUGGUCUGAGAGGAUGGUCAGCCACACUGGAACUGAGCCACGGUCCAGACUCCUACGGGAGGCAGCAGUGGGGAAUAUUGGACAAUGGGCGCAAGCCUGAUCCAGCCAUACCGCGUGGGUGAAGAAGGCCUUCGGGUUGUAAAGCCCUUUUGUUGGGAAAGAAAAGCAGCAGGUUAAUACCCCGCUGUUCUGACGGUACCCAAAGAAUAAGCAUCGGCUAACUUCGUG
RNAcentral lists this ribosomal RNA (492 nucleotides) under uncultured bacterium. RNAcentral's name for it is "partial 16S ribosomal RNA". It matches the Rfam family "Bacterial small subunit ribosomal RNA", at positions 29 to 507 of the family's 1533-position model. The record is from RNAcentral.